GAACAAACGCUGGCGGCGUGUCUUAAGCAUGCAAGUUGAGCGGCAAGGAGGAGAGAUCCUCCCUAGAGCGGCGGACUGGUGAGUAACGCGUGGGUAAUCUAUCUUAGGCAUGGGGAUAGUCACUAGAAAUAGUGGGUAAUACCGAAUAAGUUCCAUAAGGGGAGGACUUAUGGAAGAAAGGUGCUACGGCACUGGCCUUAGGUGAGCUCGCGUCCCAUUAGCUAGUUGGUGAGGUAAAGGCCCACCAAGGCGAUGAUGGGUAGCCGGCCUGAGAGGGUGUACGGCCACACUGGGACUGAGAUACGGCCCAGACUCCUACGGGAGGCAGCAGCUAAGAAUAUUCCGCAAUGGACGGAAGUCUGACGGAGCGACGCCGCGUGGAUGAAGAAGGCCGAAAGGUUGUAAAGUUCUUUUGCUAGGGGAGAAUAAGUGUGGGAGGGAAUGCCUGCACGAUGACAAGGGCUAGCGAAUAAGUCCCGGCCAACUACGUGCCAGCAGCCGCGGUAACACGUAGGGGGCGAGCGUUGUUCGGAAUUACUGGGCGUAAAGGGCAUGUAGGCGGCUUGGUAAGCCUGGCGUGAAAGUCUGCAGCUUAACUGUAGGGAUGCGUUGGGAACUGCUUAGCUUGAGUUACGGAGAGGGAGCUGGAAUUCCUGGUGUAGGGGUGAAAUCUGUAGAUAUCAGGAAGAACACCGAUGGCGAAGGCAAGCUUCUGGCCGACAACUGACGCUGAGGUGCGAAAGUGUGGGGAUCAAACAGGAUUAGAUACCCUGGUAGUCCACACAGUAAACGAUGUGCACGAGGUGCUGGGGCGGUAGUUUCAGUGCCGGAGCGAACGCGGUAAGUGCACCGCCUGGGGAGUAUGCUCGCAAGGGUGAAACUCAAAGGAAUUGACGGGGGCCCGCACAAGCAGUGGAGCGUGUGGUUUAAUUCGAGGCAACGCGAAGAACCUUACCAGGGUUUGACAUCAUACUGCCCUCUGUAGAAAUACAGACUUCCGCUUCGGCGGACAGUAUGACAGGUGUUGCAUGGUUGUCGUCAGCUCGUGUCGUGAGAUGUUGGGUUAAGUCCCGCAACGAGCGCAACCCCUAUCCAAUGUUGCCAACAGGUAAAGCUGGGGACUCAUUGGAGACUGCCGGAGACGAUCUGGAGGAAGGUGGGGAUGAGGUCAAAUCAUCAUGGCCCUUAAGCCCUGGGCUACACACGCGCUACAAUGGUCGGUACAACGGGCAGCGAAGGAGCGAUCUGGAGCGAAUCCCAAAAAGCCGGCCCCAGUUGGAAUCGCAGGCUGAAACUCGCCUGCGUGAACACGGAAUUGCUAGUAAUCGCGAAUCAGCUACGUCGCGGUGAAUACGUUCCCGGGCCU
This 1366-nucleotide ribosomal RNA is filed under the name uncultured bacterium. RNAcentral describes it as "bacterial SSU rRNA". It matches the Rfam family "Bacterial small subunit ribosomal RNA", at positions 27 to 1381 of the family's 1533-position model. The record is from RNAcentral.